Bufo gargarizans (Asiatic toad) is the source of this 386-nucleotide long non-coding RNA. RefSeq lists it as uncharacterized. The record is from RefSeq and is a predicted model, not a curated record. The transcript is spliced from 3 exons. NCBI's taxonomy places the organism in Eukaryota, Metazoa, Chordata, Amphibia, Anura, Bufonidae.
UUCUUCGGGCACUGUACCGUGUCCUAACAGAGUAAGCACAUGGUGCUCGCUGACGUGCACUAUGACCUGACGCUGUGUGAAAUCAGGUCACAGUGCAGUGCUGCAGGAAGAGCGCGCUUGAUCUUCCAAGUGGCAGACCCAUCCAGAGCAGAAGAGAUCCAAAAUUAAGCUUGCUAAAGGAUUCCAGGAUUUCCAUCAUACUCCGAUCCUUGGUCUCUGGUAGUAUCCAGAAGGAAAAUAUAGCCGCAGAGAUGCAGUAAACCAAGAAGAAAAUGAAGCAGAAUGUCCCCAAUGCCUCCUAUUGAAAAACAGAGUACAGUAAUGAUCAUUACUAAAUAGAGAUUAUACUACAGAACAACACCAUCCAUCAACAUUGUAUAUUGCCA